This 152-nucleotide unclassified non-coding RNA is filed under the name uncultured Cephalothecaceae. Its description in RNAcentral is "sequence contains ITS2". Lineage: Eukaryota; Fungi; Ascomycota; Sordariomycetes; Sordariales. The record is from RNAcentral.
CAACCCUCAAGCACUGCUUGGCGUUGGGGCACUACGCGCUGAGCGUAGGCCCCUAAAAUCAGUGGCGGGCCCGCCGUGGCUCCGGGCGUAGUAGCAACACCUCGCCCCGGGACUGCGGCGCGCUCCGGCCGUUAAACCCCCACUAUACUGAA